GCACUGCUGACGAGUCCCAAACGCGACGAAACAGCUGUCCAGUGC
RNAcentral lists this non-coding RNA (45 nucleotides) under Echinostoma caproni. The record is from RNAcentral. Lineage: Eukaryota; Metazoa; Platyhelminthes; Trematoda; Plagiorchiida; Echinostomatidae.